AAAUUGAAGAGUUUGAUCAUGGCUCAGAUUGAACGCUGGCGGCAGGCCUAACACAUGCAAGUCGAACGGUAACAGGAAGCAGCUUGCUGCUUUGCUGACGAGUGGCGGACGGGUGAGUAAUGUCUGGGAAACUGCCUGAUGGAGGGGGAUAACUACUGGAAACGGUGGCUAAUACCGCAUAACGUCGCAAGACCAAAGAGGGGGACCUUCGGGCCUCUUGCCAUCAGAUGUGCCCAGAUGGGAUUAGCUUGUUGGUGAGGUAACGGCUCACCAAGGCGACGAUCCCUAGCUGGUCUGAGAGGAUGACCAGCCACACUGGAACUGAGACACGGUCCAGACUCCUACGGGAGGCAGCAGUGGGGAAUAUUGCACAAUGGGCGCAAGCCUGAUGCAGCCAUGCCGCGUGUAUGAAGAAGGCCUUCGGGUUGUAAAGUACUUUCAGCGGGGAGGAAGGUGUUGUGGUUAAUAACCGCAGCAAUUGACGUUACCCGCAGAAGAAGCACCGGCUAACUCCGUGCCAGCAGCCGCGGUAAUACGGAGGGUGCAAGCGUUAAUCGGAAUUACUGGGCGUAAAGCGCACGCAGGCGGUCUGUCAAGUCGGAUGUGAAAUCCCCGGGCUCAACCUGGGAACUGCAUUCGAAACUGGCAGGCUUGAGUCUUGUAGAGGGGGGUAGAAUUCCAGGUGUAGCGGUGAAAUGCGUAGAGAUCUGGAGGAAUACCGGUGGCGAAGGCAGCCCCCUGGACAAAGACUGACGCUCAGGUGCGAAAGCGUGGGGAGCAAACAGGAUUAGAUACCCUGGUAGUCCACGCCGUAAACGAUGUCUACUUGGAGGUUGUGCCCUUGAGGCGUGGCUUCCGGAGCUAACGCGUUAAGUAGACCGCCUGGGGAGUACGGCCGCAAGGUUAAAACUCAAAUGAAUUGACGGGGGCCCGCACAAGCGGUGGAGCAUGUGGUUUAAUUCGAUGCAACGCGAAGAACCUUACCUGGUCUUGACAUCCACGGAAGAAUUCAGAGAUGGAUU
This 1022-nucleotide ribosomal RNA is filed under the name Salmonella enterica. RNAcentral's name for it is "bacterial SSU rRNA". It matches the Rfam family "Bacterial small subunit ribosomal RNA", at positions 1 to 1012 of the family's 1533-position model. The record is from RNAcentral. Lineage: Bacteria; Pseudomonadati; Pseudomonadota; Gammaproteobacteria; Enterobacterales; Enterobacteriaceae.